GCCUGGUUGGCUUAGUCAGUUGAGCCUCUGACUUUGGCUCAGGUUAUGAUCUCACGGUUCAUGGGUUCAAGCCCUGUGUCGGGCU
Molecule: transfer RNA, 85 nt
Filed under: Felis catus (domestic cat)
Lineage: Eukaryota; Metazoa; Chordata; Mammalia; Carnivora; Felidae
Rfam family: tRNA
About the family: Transfer RNA (tRNA) molecules are approximately 80 nucleotides in length. Their secondary structure includes four short double-helical elements and three loops (D, anti-codon, and T loops). Further hydrogen bonds mediate the characteristic L-shaped molecular structure. tRNAs have two regions of fundamental functional importance: the anti-codon, which is responsible for specific mRNA codon recognition, and the 3' end, to which the tRNAs corresponding amino acid is attached (by aminoacyl-tRNA synthetases). tRNAs cope with the degeneracy of the genetic code in two manners: having more than one tRNA (with a specific anti-codon) for a particular amino acid; and 'wobble' base-pairing, i.e. permitting non-standard base-pairing at the 3rd anti-codon position.
Source: Rfam by way of RNAcentral